GACGAACGCUGGCGGCGUGCCUAAUACAUGCAAGUUGAGCGAUGAAGCUUGGUGCUUGCCCCAAUUUGAAGAGCAGCGAACGGGUGAGUAACGCGUGGGGAAUCUGCCUUUGAGCGGGGGACAACAUUUGGAAACGAAUGCUAAUACCGCAUAAUAACUUUAAACAUAAGUUUUAAGUUUGAAAGAUGCAAUUGCAUCACUCAAAGAUGAUCCCGCGUUGUAUUAGCUAGUUGGUGAGGUAAAGGCUCACCAAGGCGAUGAUACAUAGCCGACCUGAGAGGGUGAUCGGCCACAUUGGGACUGAGACACGGCCCAAACUCCUACAGGAGGCAGCAGUAGGGAAUCUUCGGCAAGGGACGAAAGUCUGACCGAGCAACGCCGCGGGAGGGAAGAAGGGUUUCGGAUCGUAAAACUCUGUUGGUAGAGAAGAACGUUGGUGAGAGUGGAAAGCUCAUCAAGUGACGGUAACUACCCAGAAAGGGACGGCUAACUACGUG
Molecule: ribosomal RNA, 497 nt
Filed under: uncultured bacterium
Lineage: Bacteria
Description: partial 16S ribosomal RNA
Rfam family: Bacterial small subunit ribosomal RNA
Source: RNAcentral